RNAcentral lists this ribosomal RNA (240 nucleotides) under uncultured bacterium. Its description in RNAcentral is "partial 16S ribosomal RNA". It matches the Rfam family "Bacterial small subunit ribosomal RNA", at positions 94 to 334 of the family's 1533-position model. The record is from RNAcentral.
AGCGGCGGACGGGUGAGUAACGCGUGGGUAACCGUGCCUCAUACAGGGGAUAACAGUUGAAACGGCUGCUAAUACCGCAUAAGCGCACAGUACCGCAUGGUACGGUGUGAAAAACUCCGGUGGUAUGAGAUGGACCCGCGUCUGAUUAGGUAGUUGGUGGGGUAACGGGCCUACCAAGCCGACGAUCAGUAGCCGACCUGAGAGGGUGACCGGCCACAUUGGGACUGAGACACGGCCCAA